Long non-coding RNA from Equus quagga, 1400 nucleotides. RefSeq lists it as uncharacterized. NCBI's taxonomy places the organism in Eukaryota, Metazoa, Chordata, Mammalia, Perissodactyla, Equidae. The transcript is spliced from 3 exons. The record is from RefSeq and is a predicted model, not a curated record.
GCACAGCGAGCGGAGGGUCAGGAACCAGGUCCCCGUCUGCGGGAAGGGAAUCCGCAGCCUGGCCGCCCUGGAGGUGGCACUGACCGAAAGGAGGAAGCCGGCGAGGGACUCUGAGGGGAGAAGGCAGAAGAGAGCGGUCAGUGAGAGACACAGAGCCUACCAGAGUGCACACCUCAGAGAUGAAUGUUUGCUGAACAAAUGAAUCAACCCAGCUGGGGGCAGCUCUGAUCUUUGUGAAGCCAAAGCCGCUCUUCUGCCUCGCUCCCCCACCCCUGGUCUGCCCUCAGAGCACCCACAGAUGCAUCUGCUCCUCUGCCUUAGGCUGGGUUUCUUCUCUUACUGGAGGAGAGCAGCCACAUCUCCCUGAGCUGCUCCUCUGGGACAAAAGUUCCAGGCUCUGACAUCCCACUGAGUUCCCUGCCACAGAACAAGGCAGCCCCGGCCCUGACUUCCAGCAAAGCUCCACAAGGCUGGAAGGAGGCCUUGAUGGAUGUCAGGACGAAGAUCUCAUUACCCUCUGCCUGGAAUUUUUCGGUGCCAUUUGCAUCAUUGCAUCCCCAAUGCCUAGAAUACUAGGUACUAAAAAAUAGCUGUUGAGUUAAAGAAUGGGUGUCAAAAAGAGGGUCCCUUCAGAGAGCUCCUAAACCCACCUAAUUGCUCAAAGACCUCCAUCUCCGAUAUCCAAAGCAGAUGUCCCUCAUCUUUGAUGUCAAAAUCUAAGGACCAGUCAUGUCAUCAACCCCACUUCCUACAGCAGGAAUCACCACCACAAUAAUCUCAUGGUAAAUGAGCCCAAAGGGUUAGGGCUCAUGCUCAGGAGGUGGCCCAUUUCCUUGAUGGAGAGUCCUAGGGGAAGAAACACUUUGCUCCACAUUUUGCUUGCUAUUGGCUUAACUGAAGGAUCAGUAGACAAGACCUCAAUGGUUAAGAUGUGCUUCCUCCUUAAACUGUAUAAUGUACACAUCCAAUGCCCCUCCCUUAUUGUGGAGGGGAGCAUUCAGUCAGUGGAGACCAGGGAAGAUGCAGAGAUGCAGCAAUCUUCACCCUGGAUGGGGCCAGAGAAAGGGCACAAGAAGUCAGGUCCUCAAGAGCUGCCAAGGCAGAAGUCAGGUGAGAGAAUCCAGACUGAGUCAACAUCAGCAAUCAUGGAAGGAGCAGGGCCAAGGCAAGGAAGCAAGAAACCGGGAGGGCCAAAACUGACAAGUGCAGUGGGCAACAGUCUGGAGGAAGCUGCAGUGGAAGGUCUUAGAUUGAUUCCUAGACUGUCCUAGUAUGUGUGGGCUGGGUCUCUUUAGAACACCCUGAGCUGGGGCCAGCCCCGGACCAAGUGGUUAAGUUCGCGUGCUCUGCUUUGGCGGCCCAGGGUUUCGCCAGUUCAGAUUCUGGGCGGGGACAUGGCA